Molecule: transfer RNA, 789 nt
Filed under: Rhodopseudomonas sp. TUT3531
Lineage: Bacteria; Pseudomonadati; Pseudomonadota; Alphaproteobacteria; Hyphomicrobiales; Nitrobacteraceae
Rfam family: tRNA (bases 193-266)
Source: RNAcentral
AAGGAUGGGUCUUCAAGAGCUUGCUCUUAUCGACCUGUUUUAGAAACAUCAGGAGCUCUAAGUCAUACGAGCUCCAUUGGCGGGACACCGCCGUCUUCGUUUCUCUUUCUUCGCGGACGAACACGCGCCUGGGGUGGCGCUGCGCAUGGGCUGACGAAUGUCAUGCCUCGCGAGCUUUGCCUCACGUGCUGAGGGCUUGUAGCUCAGUUGGUUAGAGCGCGCGCUUGAUAAGCGUGAGGUCGGAAGUUCAAGUCUUCCCAGGCCCACCAUUUUGUCGAGCGCUGCAUUCGUCUUCUGGUUACGGGGCCAUAGCUCAGCUGGGAGAGCGCGUGCUUUGCAAGCAUGAGGUCGUCGGUUCGAUCCCGUCUGGCUCCACCAGAUGGGCGACUUUGAUGACUGCAUCGCAUGUCGGUGCUGUUUGCGCCUGACUUAAUCGUCCGCGAUAUACAACUUCGCGUGCAUCCAUCGGGAUCGCAUUGCGGGAUAUCUGACAUCGUGAAGAGGAGAUCGAUCCGAGUUUGGAUCCAGCGAAGCAAUUCGCGGGGUUCGAUCGCGUAUCUCCAGAUCAUUUUCGGCGCAUGCUCAUCGCAAGGUGAGCGUGUUGCAAAAUGGUCUUUGUUGGCGACGCUUGACCGCAUCGCCAUCGGUUCGAUCUUACGAAGCAAGCUGGUCUUUCUAAUCAAUGAUCCGUCUGCAUGUGAUGCGCCUCACCCGCGCGCUUCUCUCCUGAGAAGCUAGCCUGCAGAACAUUCUGCCGAGUGUGUGGACAUUGAUAAUGAGAGCAAUCAA